GCGGGGGUUGCCAAGUCUGGUCAAACAAGCCCUUUUCCACCUCGCUUGACGGGAAAUGAGAAAAGGGUCAAUGGAGAAAUGCAAUUUCUCCUUGCUGGGUCAAAGGCGCAAGGUUGAGGGCCUUGUCUCGUAGGAGUUCGCGAGUUCGAAUCUCGUCCCCCGCA
This 164-nucleotide transfer RNA is filed under the name Methanocellales archaeon. RNAcentral describes it as "tRNA-Leu". It matches the Rfam family "tRNA". From Rfam's summary of the family: Transfer RNA (tRNA) molecules are approximately 80 nucleotides in length. Their secondary structure includes four short double-helical elements and three loops (D, anti-codon, and T loops). The record is from RNAcentral. Lineage: Archaea; Methanobacteriati; Methanobacteriota; Methanomicrobia; Methanocellales.